AUAGAGAGAGAGAACGAACAAGAAAAAGAGAAAGAGAAAGAGAAUAUUACCCCUCAAUCUUUUUUGUCAAGCCCUUCUUCUUUUUCUCUCUCUUUUUCU
RNAcentral lists this non-coding RNA (99 nucleotides) under uncultured Mallomonas. The record is from RNAcentral. Lineage: Eukaryota; Synurophyceae; Synurales; Mallomonadaceae.